UACCAGCACCCCGAGUGGUCGGGACGAUUAUUGGGGCUAAAGCAUCCGUAGCCGGUCCUGCAAGUCUUCCGUUAAAUCCAGCUGCUCAACAGAUGGGCUGCGGAGGAUACUACAGGGCUAGGAGGCGGGAGAGGCAAGCGGUACUUUAUGGGUAGGGGUAAAAUCCGUUGAUCCAUAGAAGACCACCAGUGGCGAAGGCGGCUUGCCAGAACGCGCUCGACGGUGAGGGAUGAAAGCUGGGGGAGCAAACCGG
This 253-nucleotide ribosomal RNA is filed under the name uncultured bacterium. RNAcentral describes it as "partial 16S ribosomal RNA". It matches the Rfam family "Archaeal small subunit ribosomal RNA", at positions 474 to 727 of the family's 1478-position model. The record is from RNAcentral.